RNAcentral lists this ribosomal RNA (468 nucleotides) under uncultured bacterium. RNAcentral's name for it is "partial 16S ribosomal RNA". It matches the Rfam family "Bacterial small subunit ribosomal RNA", at positions 28 to 507 of the family's 1533-position model. The record is from RNAcentral.
GACGAACGCUGGCGGCGUGCUUAACACAUGCAAGUCGAACGGAAAGGCCCUGCUUUUGUGGGGUCCUCAAGUGGCAAACGGUUGAGUAACACGUGAGUAACCUGCCCUUGACUUUGGGAUAACUUCAGGAAACUGGGGCUAAUACCGGAUAGGAGCUCCUGCUGCAUGGUGGGGGUGGGAAAGUUUCGGCGGUUGGGGGUGGACUCGCGGCUUAUCAGCUUGUUGGUGGGGUAGUGGCUUACCAAGGCUUUGACGGGUAGCCGGCCUGAGAGGGUGACCGGCCACAUUGGGACUGAGAUACGGCCCAGACUCCUACGGGAGGCAGCAGUGGGGAAUAUUGCACAAUGGGCGGAAGCCUGAUGCAGCAACGCCGCGUGCGGGAUGACGGCCUUCGGGUUGUAAACCGCUUUCGCCUGUGACGAAGCGUGAGUGACGGUAAUGGGUAAAGAAGCACCGGCUAACUACGUG